GGACGUGCUGCUACUCCCCUCAUUCCCAACAUGUAUCAAGUACCUGCAUUGAGUAAUGCAAGAGUGAGAUGACACAUCUCAGCAAGUAAAAUAAUAUCAAACAGUUUAACCACAUAAGAACAUUGUUUUACCACCACUUAAUUCCACAACCUUCUUAUUACGAAGGUGCAGCACGUAUACAACGUACAACGCACCUAGUUACCACACCUCGCAGGUAGAAACCACAAUAGUAACAUAGUAAUGUCACACUUCAUAUAUUCCUCAUAAGUGCAAAUGUCUGCAAAUGCAAGGAUGACUUCUGCCUUCAUACCUCUAAGGAUAUGAAGCCGCAUCGUACCCCUCCUCGGGCAACGUAUGAUGCUAAAAAUGUACCGGUACGGUCAGACCAUAAGAUCACGACAUAACUUCAAAAUGCAAGAUGGAUGAUGCGAUGUGCAUGUCAUGCCUACAACACUUCAUAUAACAUGAUUCAAAAAGACACUUCAACUUCAUCCAGAUGGGAAUCAACCACAUAUAUCAUUACCAAAUUAUGAUCAUCCACAAUAUUAGACAAUUGAGAAUUAAUACUUCCAAACAAAUAAACUUCAUCAUAGAAUUCAAUGAUUAACAUAAUUAAAACUUAUGCAUACUCAAUGACAGGGAAUAGGAUGCAAACCAAACGGUAGCAACCACCACUGUAUUUACUUGCCUUUACCGGAAGUUCGGGCAAAUCCCAAGUACGAUCCGGAAGCCCACCACCUAUUUUUGACACCCAACUUAGUACACCAAUUUCACAUAAUCAGGCUCAUAAGCGACGCCGCACCUACGCACAAACUUAAACCCCGCCGCGGGUUACAUCUCUCCCUACACCCACCAAACUGCAGCGGCGCUGCUUAAUAAUUUCAUAACUUUAAAAUUAUGACAGCAGUGGUAACAAACAAAAACUCCAGAGGCAUCUACAUAAAAUUCCCCACAAGUUUUGUAUACAAUUUAUAAUUAAAUUCCAAUAUCUAAUUAGCCCAAAACAGUCCACAAGAUGAACCCUGUAAUCUGUUUUUCUUUGUCUUUUGAACAGCGACAUACCCAGAUUCAAACAGCGAUAUCUUUUAAAAUAUAAUUCCAAAUCAAGCGCAUAAGUACUCAUUGGAAAGAUAAGAUAAAUCCCUACAUGAUUACCAUACUGGUUAACACUAAUUACCCACGAAAAAUUCCCAGAAACUGCUAAUACCACUGCUGUUCACCCACCUGAAAAAUCUGUUUUUUUGGACAGCAACAUAACCGGAUUCAAACAACGAUAUCUCCUGAAUUAUAACUCCGAAUCGAGCGCAUAAGUACUUGUUGAAAAGAUAACAUAAAGCCCUACAUGAUUCUCAUACUGAUUAACACUAAUUACUCCCGAAAAAUCCCCAGAAACUGCUAAUACUGCUGCUGUUCAUCCCCCUGAAAAAUCUGUUUUUUUGGACAGCCACAUACCCGGAUUCAAACGGUGAUAACUUUCAAUUUAUAACUCCAAAUUGAGCGCAUAAAUACUCGUUGGAAAGGUAAGGUAAAGUUCUACAUGAUCCUUAUACUGAUUUCCCUUAAUUCCUCACGAAAAAAAACACAGAAACUGCUAGACUACUGUUGUUCACCCACCACCUAAAAUUCUGGACAGCCCCCCUCUACCCCAAUUGCAAACGCAACCUCUAAUCAAUUAAAUUGCAGCACAAAUGAACAAGGGAUGAACACAAAAAUCACCUUGGAUUCUCCCCCUUUCCUUCCUCCCUUCUUCCCUCCACCAAAACGAUUGAAGACUCGCACCACGACGACGAUGAUCCGAGUGGCAAGGAUUGGCACCUUGGGAGGAGGGGAUUGAGAGGGGGGGCGGCUAGGGUUUGGUGGCUGCAAGAAUUGAGAGAGGAG
Molecule: long non-coding RNA, 1881 nt
Filed under: Zea mays
Lineage: Eukaryota; Viridiplantae; Streptophyta; Magnoliopsida; Poales; Poaceae
Description: long non-coding RNA (ZMAY_LNC002393)
Source: RNAcentral